UAUGGCUUAACCAGGACUAAUACUCUGUCAGGACCUUCUCCAGUGUUUCUGUUGGCCUCUGCUGAACUCUGGAGAAGACCAGAUCUCCAUCGGUUCAGGUGACGUCAGACGGACGGAGGCUGCAGAGGUUUGACAUCGUUGAUGUGUGAUGGAACGUCGCUGCAGUUUCAAACCAGCACACACGAGCCAAUCAGAGGAGAAGGCCCACCUAC
This is a long non-coding RNA of Melanotaenia boesemani (Boeseman's rainbowfish), 212 nucleotides long. RefSeq lists it as uncharacterized. The record is from RefSeq and is a predicted model, not a curated record. Lineage: Eukaryota; Metazoa; Chordata; Actinopteri; Atheriniformes; Melanotaeniidae. The transcript is spliced from 3 exons.